This 29-nucleotide non-coding RNA is filed under the name Mus musculus (house mouse). Lineage: Eukaryota; Metazoa; Chordata; Mammalia; Rodentia; Muridae. The record is from RNAcentral.
UGAGUCCAUUUAAAGGUGAAGCACGGGAC